This 682-nucleotide ribosomal RNA is filed under the name uncultured Bacillota bacterium. RNAcentral's name for it is "bacterial SSU rRNA". It matches the Rfam family "Bacterial small subunit ribosomal RNA", at positions 60 to 719 of the family's 1533-position model. The record is from RNAcentral. Lineage: Bacteria; Bacillati; Bacillota.
AGUCGAGCGAGGCCUGGGGGGCAACUCCCAGAGUCGAGCGGCGGACGGGUGAGUAACACGUGGGUAACCUGCCCGGAAGUGGGGAAUACCUCGGGGAAACUCGAGCUAAUACCGCAUGACAUCUUCGGGACGAAAGUUCUGACGAUCAAAGCGGGGUCGCAAGAUCUCGCGCUACCGGAUGGGCCCGCGCCCGAUUAGCUAGUUGGUGAGGUAACGGCUCACCAAGGCUUCGAUCGGUAACCGGCCUGAGAGGGCGAUCGGUCACACCGGAACUGAGACACGGUCCGGACUCCUACGGGAGGCAGCAGUGGGGAAUCUUGCGCAAUGGGCGAAAGCCUGACGCAGCAACGCCGCGUGGAGGAUGAAGGCCCUUGGGUUGUAAACUCCUGUCGGCUGGGAAGAAAUCGUACGGUGCUAAUACCACCGUGCGUUGACUGUACCAGCAAAGGAAGCCCCGGCUAACUCUGUGCCAGCAGCCGCGGUAAUACAGAGGGGGCCAGCGUUAUUCGGAAUUAUUGGGCGUAAAGGGCGCGUAGGCGGCCAUGCGUGUCUUCCGUGAAAUCCCUCGGCUUAACUGAGGACGUGCGGAAGAAACUGCAAGGCUCGAGUCCGGGAGAAGGGGGGUGGAAUUCCCAGUGUAGCGGUGAAAUGCGUAGAUAUUCGGAGGAACACCGGUGGCGAA